Molecule: ribosomal RNA, 484 nt
Filed under: uncultured bacterium
Lineage: Bacteria
Description: partial 16S ribosomal RNA
Rfam family: Bacterial small subunit ribosomal RNA
Source: RNAcentral
ACUGAACGCUGGCGGCAUGCUUUACACAUGCAAGUCGAACGGCAGCGCGGGCUUCGGCCUGGCGGCGAGUGGCGAACGGGUGAGUAAUGCAUCGGAACGUGCCCAGUAGUGGGGGAUAGCCCGGCGAAAGCCGGAUUAAUACCGCAUACGACCUGAGGGUGAAAGCGGGGGACCGAAAGGCCUCGCGCUAUUGGAGCGGCCGAUGUCGGAUUAGCUAGUUGGUGGGGUAAAGGCUUACCAAGGCGACGAUCCGUAGCUGGUCUGAGAGGACGACCAGCCACACUGGGACUGAGACACGGCCCAGACUCCUACGGGAGGCAGCAGUGGGGAAUUUUGGACAAAGGGGGCAACCCUGAUCCAGCCAUGCCGCGUGCGGGAAGAAGGCCUUCGGGUUGUAAACCGCUUUUGUUCGGGAAGAAAUCCUCUGGGCUAAUACCCCGGGGGGAUGACGGUACCGGAAGAAUAAGCACCGGCUAACUACGUG